This 949-nucleotide ribosomal RNA is filed under the name Anaerosalibacter bizertensis. RNAcentral describes it as "partial 23S ribosomal RNA". It matches the Rfam family "Bacterial large subunit ribosomal RNA", at positions 1975 to 2925 of the family's 2925-position model. The record is from RNAcentral. Lineage: Bacteria; Bacillati; Bacillota; Tissierellia; Tissierellales; Sporanaerobacteraceae.
GGUAAGUUCCGACCCGCACGAAAGGCGUAAUGAUUUGAGCGCUGUCUCGACAAUGCAUCCGGUGAAAUUGAAGUACCAGUGAAGAUGCUGGUUACCUGCGCCAGGACGGAAAGACCCCAUGGAGCUUUACUCCAGUCUGGUACUGGGACUCGGUAUUGCAUGUACAGGAUAGGUGGGAGGCUAGGAGAUGGUAACGCCAGUUGCCAUGGAGCCGCUGUUGGGAUACCACCCUUGCAGUAUUGGGUUUCUAACCAGCCGCCGUGACCCGGCGGUGGGACAAUGCCAGACGGGGAGUUUGACUGGGGCGGUCGCCUCCGAAAGGGUAUCGGAGGCGCCCAAAGGUUCCCUCAGAAUGGACGGAAACCAUUCGAAGAGUGCAAAGGCAGAAGGGAGCUUGACUGCGACACCGACGGGUGGAGCAGGUACGAAAGUAGGGCUUAGUGAUCCGGUGGUAUUAAGUGGGAAUGCCAUCGCUCAACGGAUAAAAGCUACCCUGGGGAUAACAGGCUUAUCACUCCCAAGAGUUCACAUCGACGGAGUGGUUUGGCACCUCGAUGUCGGCUCAUCGCAUCCUGGGGCUGUAGUAGGUCCCAAGGGUUGGGCUGUUCGCCCAUUAAAGCGGUACGCGAGCUGGGUUCAGAACGUCGUGAGACAGUUCGGUCCCUAUCCGGCGUGGGCGUAGGAUAUCUGAGAGGAGCUGUCCUUAGUACGAGAGGACCGGGAUGGACGGGCCGCUGGUGCAUCGGUUAGACUGCCAAGUCUACGGCCGAGUAGCCAAGCCCGGAAGGGAUAAACGCUGAAGGCAUCUAAGCGUGAAGCCCCCCUUAAGAUGAGAUAUCCCAUUCGAAAGAAGUAAACCCCCUUGAAGACGACGAGGUAGAUAGGGCAGAGGUGGAAGUGUGGCAACACAUGGAGCUGACUGUUACUAAUCGGGUGAGGGCUUGACCAA